GACGAACCGUACAAACGUUAUUCGGAAUUAUUGGGUUUAAAGGGUGCGUAGGCGGUGCGAUAAGUUGGGUGUGAAAUACCUUGGCUCAACCAAGGAAUUGCGCCCAAUACUGUCGUGCUUGAGGGAGACAGAGGUGAGCGGAACUGAUGGCGGAGCGGUGAAAUGCGUUGAUAUCAUCAGGAACACCAGUGGCGAAAGCGGCUCGCUGGGUCGCUUCUGACGCUGAGGCACGAAAGCUAGGGUAGCGAACAGG
RNAcentral lists this ribosomal RNA (253 nucleotides) under uncultured bacterium. RNAcentral describes it as "partial 16S ribosomal RNA". It matches the Rfam family "Bacterial small subunit ribosomal RNA", at positions 524 to 776 of the family's 1533-position model. The record is from RNAcentral.